RNAcentral lists this ribosomal RNA (373 nucleotides) under uncultured organism. Its description in RNAcentral is "bacterial SSU rRNA". It matches the Rfam family "Bacterial small subunit ribosomal RNA", at positions 526 to 896 of the family's 1533-position model. The record is from RNAcentral.
CGUAGGGUGCAAGCGUUGUCCGGAAUUAUUGGGCGUAAAGAGCUCGUAGGCGGUCUGUCGCGUCGGCUGUGAAAACUUGGGGCUCAACUCCGAGCUUGCAGUCGAUACGGGCAGGCUAGAGUUCGGCAGGGGAGACUGGAAUUCCUGGUGUAACGGUGAAAUGCGCAGAUAUCAGGAGGAACACCGGUGGCGAAGGCGGGUCUCUGGGCCGAUACUGACGCUGAGGAGCGAAAGCGUGGGGAGCGAACAGGAUUAGAUACCCUGGUAGUCCACGCCGUAAACGUUGGGCGCUAGGUGUGGGAUCCCUUCCACGGGUUCCGUGCCGCAGCUAACGCAUUAAGCGCCCCGCCUGGGGAGUACGGCCGCAAGGCUA